Long non-coding RNA from Zonotrichia leucophrys gambelii, 471 nucleotides. RefSeq lists it as uncharacterized. The record is from RefSeq and is a predicted model, not a curated record. Lineage: Eukaryota; Metazoa; Chordata; Aves; Passeriformes; Passerellidae. The transcript has 4 exons.
UUUGCAUUGAAACAAGUUUGAAUAAUACAGAUCACCAAAGCUACUAUUUUCUUUUUAUUAACAUGAAGCAACAUGAGGACUUCUUAUAUAGUUUUAUGAUGCUGGGGAAUUUCCUAACAGAAAAAUUUAUGCCAAAAAAUGGCUUUGUGAGGCAGACCCCAAAUACUUAUGAAGUUCUUCACAACAUCCAUCACCCUCAAAACUGGGCAAAGGACACUCCUCCCCUUGCUGAGGUUCUGCAAUGGAGCUGAAUAUCACUUCUGGUUUGGAAAAGUUUCUUAGUAAGUAAAUUGACUUCCGAUUUGGAUGAGAACCAUGACACUCCUUGAACACAUGUCUAAUUUGGACUGUAGUGCACGCCAUAAUCUGUCCCAGCAGGAAGAUGUAAACACAGCCAUAGAGAGUAGUUGAAGAGAGGAUAUAAAGUAACAGUUUAUUUAUGUUCCAGAUCACGGUAACUUAAAUACUCUU